CUCAGGAUGAACGCUAGCUACAGGCUUAACACAUGCAAGUCGAGGGGCAGCAUGGUCUUAGCUUGCUAAGGCCGAUGGCGACCGGCGCACGGGUGAGUAACACGUAUCCAACCUGCCGUCUACUCUUGGACAGCCUUCUGAAAGGAAGAUUAAUACAAGAUGGCAUCAUGAGUCCGCAUGUUCACAUGAUUAAAGGUAUUCCGGUAGACGAUGGGGAUGCGUUCCAUUAGAUAGUAGGCGGGGUAACGGCCCACCUAGUCUUCGAUGGAUAGGGGUUCUGAGAGGAAGGUCCCCCACAUUGGAACUGAGACACGGUCCAAACUCCUACGGGAGGCAGCAGUGAGGAAUAUUGGUCAAUGGGCGAGAGCCUGAACCAGCCAAGUAGCGUGAAGGAUGACUGCCCUAUGGGUUGUAAACUUCUUUUAUAAAGGAAUAAAGUCGGGUAUGGAUACCCGUUUGCAUGUACUUUAUGAAUAAGGAUCGGCUAACUCCGUGCCAGCAGCCGCGGUAAUACGGAGGAUCCGAGCGUUAUCCGGAUUUAUUGGGUUUAAAGGGAGCGUAGAUGGAUGUUUAAGUCAGUUGUGAAAGUUUGCGGCUCAACCGUAAAAUUGCAGUUGAUACUGGAUAUCUUGAGUGCAGUUGAGGCAGGCGGAAUUCGUGGUGUAGCGGUGAAAUGCUUAGAUAUCACGAAGAACUCCGAUUGCGAAGGCAGCCUGCUAGGCUGCAACUGACAUUGAGGCUCGAAAGUGUGGGUAUCAAACAGGAUUAGAUACCCUGGUAGUCCACACGGUAAACGAUGAAUACUCGCUGUUUGCGAUGUACGGCAAGCGGCCAAGCGAAGCGUUAAGUAUUCAUCAUGGGGAGUACGCCGGCAACGGUGAAACUCAAAGGAAUUGACGGGGGCCCGCACAAGCGGAGGAACAUGAGGUUUAAUUCGAUGAUACGUGAGGUACUUUAUCCGGGCUUAAAUUGCAGAUGAAUUACGGUGAAAUCUGUAAGUCGCAAGGCAUCUGUGAAGGUGCUGCAUGGUUGUCGUCAGCUCGUGACGUGAGGUGUCGGCUUAAGUGCCAUAACGAGCGCAACCCUUGUUGUCAGUUACUAACAGGUUCCGCUGAGGACUUUGACAAGACUGCCAUUGUAAGAUGUGAGGAAGGUGGGGAUGACGUCAAAUCAGCACGGCCCUUAUGUCCGGGGCUACACACGUGUUACAAUGGGGGGUACAGAGGGCCGCUACCACGCGAGUGGAUGCCAAUCCCCAAAACCUCUCUCAGUUCGGACUGGAGUCUGCAACCCGACUCCACGAAGUUGGAUUUUAUAGUAAUCGCGCAUCAGCCACGGCGCGGUGAAUACGUUCCCGGGCCUUGUACACACCGCCCGUCAAGCCAUGGGAGCCGGGGGUACCUGAAGAGCGUAACCGCGAGGAGCGCCCUAGGGUAAA
Molecule: ribosomal RNA, 1438 nt
Filed under: uncultured organism
Description: SSU rRNA
Rfam family: Bacterial small subunit ribosomal RNA
Source: RNAcentral